CCCCUAGUAACUGCGAGUGAAGCGGGAAGAGCUCAAAUUUUGAAUCUGGCGGUCUUUCGGCCGUCCGAGUUGUAAUCUAGAGAAGUGUUUUCCGCGCUGGACCGUGUACAAGUCUCCUGGAAGGGAGCGUCAUAGAGGGUGAGAAUCCCGUCUCUGACACGGACCCCCAGUGCUAUGUGAUGCGCUCUCGACGAGUCGGGUUGUUUGGGAAUGCAGCUCAAAUCGGGUGGUAAACUCCAUCUAAAGCUAAAUAUAGGCGAGAGACCGAUAGCGAACAAGUACCGUGAGGGAAAGAUGAAAAGAACUUUGGAAAGAGAGUUAAACAGUACGUGAAAUUGCUGAAAGGGAAACGCUUGAUGUCAGUCGCGUCGGCCAGGAAUCAACCUUGCAUUUUGCUGGGCGUAUUUUCUGGUCGACGGGUCAGCAUCAGUUUCGAUCGUCGUACAAGGGUGAAGGGAAUGUGGCACUCUUCGGGGUGUGUUAUAGCCUUUCGUCGUAUGCGAUGGUCGGGACUGAGGAACUCGGCACGGCUCUGCUUGUGCUCA
This 545-nucleotide ribosomal RNA is filed under the name Chalciporus sp. RNAcentral's name for it is "partial large subunit ribosomal RNA". It matches the Rfam family "Eukaryotic large subunit ribosomal RNA", at positions 77 to 620 of the family's 3401-position model. Lineage: Eukaryota; Fungi; Basidiomycota; Agaricomycetes; Boletales; Boletaceae. The record is from RNAcentral.